RNAcentral lists this long non-coding RNA (2569 nucleotides) under Dermacentor andersoni. RNAcentral describes it as "uncharacterized LOC126528117". Lineage: Eukaryota; Metazoa; Arthropoda; Arachnida; Ixodida; Ixodidae. The record is from RNAcentral.
GAUGUGCCACUUUGUUACACUUUUUUAUUGUAAUCUAGAAGCACUAAAUUUUUGAAAGGCCAGCUCUUCAAGAACUGUCAGAAUAUAAGGGUAGCUAUAGUAUACCAAAUCUGAACACUCUUGAGCGAAGUGCCAACAAGAUGGAUGUGCAUUAGCUUGCAGUUUACAUCAUCCACUUUCAGGCACCAAAGUUCUCUUGUGGCUGCUAGAUUUGUAACUUCAUAGAAAAGCUUGAUUGAGCAAUUCUCCAUCUAAUCCCGUGUCAUGGUACAGGAUGGAUGUUUCCAAAGCAUCUCAUGGGACUGAACUGCAUGAUGUAAGAAUUCCUCUUGCAAUCCCAUGUUUUCACAUUUCCUCAUAGGCUUGGACGUCGUCAGUGCUGAGAUCAGCCAUUCAACAUGUAGUGCGCAGCGUUGGAGUCAAAUGAGAAAAUGUGGAAAGAAUGGAUCACGAAAGAUUCCUUGUGUAAUAUAGCCCUUAAUGUCAUAAGCAGCACCUACUUGAUGGCUUUGUUCCUUGUAGAUCUCAGGAAGGCUAUGUUCAUAUUUAUGUGCAACGCUGUGGCAACGACCUGUUGGAUUUGCUCGCAAACAGUUUGGAGUCCACUUUGCAUGUGUGCCUGUUGUGUAAUAAGAUGCCUUUUGUUGCUUGGUGCUUGCUUGUUGACUGCAUUUUGUAUUCAAUAAGCUGUGGGAGUCUGCUCUGUUUUGUAGCAUUUUUUGUAAAUUAUCUCUAAUGAUUUGUGGCAUUGCUUUUCGUGUGGCAGCGGUGAAUGCUCAUUGCUGGGAGCAUAUCUUUCUUUGUGCUUACUCAUCUUCUUUCUAAUCUGCCAAUCUCAUGCAAACAUGACUGAAUGUGCAGGAACUGCUUAGUGUAUUGGAGAUAGAUUUCUUGCAAGUCUCAAACAAGAGAGGCAAUGCCUCUUGGACGUUCAUAGUUUUUCAUUUCUUUUCCAUUCUUUUUUAACACCGCAGUGCAGGGACCUCCAGUCAUGGACCUGUCGCCAUGCCUCUACACCAAGGUUGGCCCCAGAUACAAGUGCGUCCUGUGUGACUUCGUCACGAAGGUCACUGACAACCUAUGUGCUCACAUGCACGCACAUAACGCUGGGCCGUCCAGCCUCUAUGCCCAGUUUGGACAACAUUGGCAGUGCCUGGUCUGCGGCUACAUCUCGAAGGUAGCCGUCAACAUGCUUACUCACGUGCGUACGCACACGGGCGAGAAGCCGUACAAGUGUCACCUGUGUCCUUAUGCCUGUGCCCAGAGUGGAAACCUUAGGUCUCACAUCCGAUCUCGCCAUCCCACGGCUCUCAACAUUAGCAGGGUCUCCUGCCGGCCACAGAGAGCAACAAGCCACGAGAGAACUCUGCCGGUUCCCUGAAACAUGCGAUGCCCUCGUGUUGCUGGUGCCAUACUUGGGUACCAGCAGCCUGGUACCAGCUGGACUCAAAUAUAGAUACUACCAGGCUUUAGAGCUUUGCAGCUUGUACCAAAUUCUUUAAAAUAUCUUGGCCAUUGAGUGACAAUUUCACUUUUCACCUGCUUGAAGCAAGGUGAACUUGAAGGAUCAUUAAAUGUUUCACAAAUGUUGUGUGCCUUUACCCAUGGCCAUAUCUAUUGCACUUGCUUCUGUUCAAGAUGAGCUGGAACAGGGUUGACCUUCAAUGUGUAGUUGCCAAGCUAUUUACAUGAAAUUUUUGGCACACUGUCCUGCGUUCGUACAAGCUGGCAUGUGUUAAGCACCUCUGGUUGUGUUUAUAUCAAAUCUUGCAGUUUCUGGAGACUUGGCAUGUCAUAUCUUCGUUUUGUCUUUUUGCAUGGUUCAUUUUCUGUUUAUGGUGCAGAUGAAUUUAUGAGCCUUUGCUUGCCUUGUGUUCAGCAGUCUCGGCAGUUGCUGCUUCUGUAGCAUGCACAUAAUCAUUUUGUAUGAUGCUGUUGGUUUGCAUGAGGCUUCCUUUGGUUGUGUUUCGGCUCCUUCAGGUUGUGGGCAUGUUGGGAUGAUCAGCAAGCCACUGGUGGUUUCCACACUUUUGUCACAACCACUUGAGGGUUGUUCUACGAAUGCGGGUGCUAUGUUCUGGUGCUGCUGUAAAGUACCAAGGGAAGUCUAGUCAGGAUAAAGACCGGUUCAGAAUUAAGGCCAAAUAAUUACUGAAAUAAUUACUGAAAUUACUGAAAUAAUUAAUUACUGAAAUUACUGAAAUAAUUACUCCAAACAAACCCAAAAUAUGCUCAGGUUCAUAGUUUUUUUGUGAUAGCUAAAUAAGAGGUGGACUGGCAUGUGUGUGUGGUGUAGAAAAGCGGCUACUGAACAAUCGCCACUGUGAUAUUUUGAAGUUGUUGUGUACAAGAAGUUUGAUUUCUGACACACAUUUUCUCCAUAUGUUGAUCUGAAAAGUCAGUAUGUACAGUUUAUAAGAUUGGCUGUAUUUACUGCUGAGCUGCAUCAUUGUCUAAAUCAUUUGCUUGCAUGUACUAGUGACAUUUUGUAUGUUCUUUGAAGCAAUUUUCAAGUCGUAUAACGAUCGUGUGACACAUGCAUGAAUAAAAGCAUACGAAACAAAUAAAA